Populus nigra (black poplar) is the source of this 619-nucleotide long non-coding RNA. RefSeq lists it as uncharacterized. The transcript is spliced from 3 exons. NCBI's taxonomy places the organism in Eukaryota, Viridiplantae, Streptophyta, Magnoliopsida, Malpighiales, Salicaceae. The record is from RefSeq and is a predicted model, not a curated record.
GUAAACAUGAAUUUCGAUCUGAUAAGUGGGGUCCACUUUUCCUUGUACCUUGCACUUCCUCCGAAGCUAGCUUGUUCAAGAAAAUUGACCAACAUCAGGGUGAUGAUUAAUGAGAGAUUUGUGGAAGGAAGAGGAUACUAAUUAACACCGUAGUAGAGGAAGGGGAAAAAAAGAACACGGGAGAAGAAAAAAUAAAAAUAAUCCACGCUCGGUGGCAGCUUGUGGAAAUUGUGGGAAUGAGGGCGUCUGAUAUGAGAAGCAAAGCAUUUAAAGUGGCGGUAAUCGUGCACGCAAGCACACGAGGUAACAUACACAUGUAGCACACAUGGAUGGGACCCAUUGCUGUCCAAACAUAGGCUUACAGCCCUACAAGAAUCAAUGAUGGAGUAACCCCUCUUUUUCAUUGGUUCAAAAGCAUACUAUUAGCCCCUUGUGGUCAAACCCUCCGAACUGCAAAGCCUUGUGAUAGGGUUUAUGUGAAUAUGCAUUCACAGUGUCUUUUUCUUUUUUCUUUUUUUAACAAUAGUGUAAAUUGGGUUGUAAUUUAAAAAGGGAUCAAGCCCAGGUUUACAAGCAUUGAGGACUUGCAAGUUCUAAAAGGGUCCAAGGUAAAUUCAUU